AUGCAUCACAAAGGCAAUGCUGUGGUGCUAAACCAGGAGACUUCCGCCCUUCAGAGCUCCAGGGAUGACCAUACAGGACAUGAAGCAGGUUGCAGCCUGAGCUUCUGUAUUCUCCCAGCUCACCCUGUCCUCACUUCAGCAGGCACUGGGGCUGCUUCAAACAGAACACAGAUUUGUCAUCUGUAUUUUUGGAUAAUCCAGGAAGGAAGGAACAUCAGGAGGUUUCAAACCCAAAUACCUGCCCAAAGCAUGUACAACUCUGGGAUCAGACCAGGCUACUGAGGACUUCGUUGCAGCUU
RNAcentral lists this long non-coding RNA (299 nucleotides) under Numida meleagris (helmeted guineafowl). RNAcentral describes it as "lncRNA (ENSNMEG00000015756.1)". Lineage: Eukaryota; Metazoa; Chordata; Aves; Galliformes; Numididae. The record is from RNAcentral.